UACGAAGGGGGCUAGCGUUGUUCGGAAUUACUGGGCGUAAAGCGCACGUAGGCGGAUAUUUAAGUCAGGGGUGAAAUCCCGGGGCUCAACCCCGGAACUGCCUUCGAUACUGGCGAUCUUGAGUCCGGAAGAGGUGAGUGGAACUCCUAGUGUAGAGGUGGAAUUCGUAGAUAUUAGGAAGAACACCAGUGGCGAAGGCGGCUCACUGGUCCGGUACUGACGCUGAGGUGCGAAAGCGUGGGGAGCAAACGGG
RNAcentral lists this ribosomal RNA (253 nucleotides) under uncultured bacterium. RNAcentral describes it as "partial 16S ribosomal RNA". It matches the Rfam family "Bacterial small subunit ribosomal RNA", at positions 524 to 776 of the family's 1533-position model. The record is from RNAcentral.